UAGCGUAGGGUGCAAGCGUUUAUCCGGAAUUAUUGGGCGUAAAGAGCUCGUAGGCGGUUUGUCACGUCUGCUGUGAAAACUGGAGGCUCAACCCUCCAGCCUGCAGUGGGUUACGGGCAGACUAGAGUGCGGUAGGGGAGAUUGGAAUUCCUGGUGUAGCGGUGGAAUGCGCAGAAUAUCAGGAGGAACACCGAUGGCGAAGGCAGAUCGUCUGGGCCGUUACUGACGCUGAGACGCGAAAGCGUGGGGAGCAAACAGG
Molecule: ribosomal RNA, 259 nt
Filed under: uncultured bacterium
Lineage: Bacteria
Description: partial 16S ribosomal RNA
Rfam family: Bacterial small subunit ribosomal RNA
Source: RNAcentral